Molecule: ribosomal RNA, 253 nt
Filed under: uncultured bacterium
Lineage: Bacteria
Description: partial 16S ribosomal RNA
Rfam family: Bacterial small subunit ribosomal RNA
Source: RNAcentral
UACAGAGGGUGCAAACGUUGUUCGGAAUCACUGGGCAUAAAGCGCGCGUAGGCGGCUCAUCAAGUGCAGAGUGAAAUCCCACGGCUUACCCGUGGAACUGCUCUGUAUACUGACGAGCUAGAGGACGGUAGGGGUGAGCGGAACUCCAGGUGGAGCGGUGAAAUGCGUAGAUAUCUGGAGGAACACCGGUGGCGAAAGCGGCUCACUGGAUCGAAACUGACGCUGAGGUGCGAAAGCUAGGGUAGCAAACGGG